AUUGAACGCUGGCGGCAUGCCUUACACAUGCAAGUCGAACGGUAACAGGUCUUCGGAUGCUGACGAGUGGCGAACGGGUGAGUAAUACAUCGGAACGUGCCUAGUAGUGGGGGAUAACUACUCGAAAGAGUGGCUAAUACCGCAUGAGAUCUACGGAUGAAAGCAGGGGAUCGCAAGACCUUGUGCUACUAGAGCGGCCGAUGGCAGAUUAGGUAGUUGGUGGGAUAAAAGCUUAACAAGCCGACGAUCUGUAGCUGGUCUGAGAGGACGAUCAGCCACACUGGGACUGAGACACGGCCCAGACUCCUACGGAAGGCAGCAGUGGGGAAUUUUGGACAAUGGGCGCAAGCCUGAUCCAGCAAUGCCGCGUGCAGGAUGAAGGCCUUCGGGUUGUAAACUGCUUUUGUACGGAACGAAAAGCCCCGGGUUAAUACCCUGGGGUCAUGACGGUACCGUAAGAAUAAGCACCGGCUAACUACGUGCCAGCAGCCGCCGCCG
This 498-nucleotide ribosomal RNA is filed under the name uncultured bacterium. RNAcentral's name for it is "partial 16S ribosomal RNA". It matches the Rfam family "Bacterial small subunit ribosomal RNA", at positions 30 to 523 of the family's 1533-position model. The record is from RNAcentral.